Oncorhynchus kisutch (coho salmon) is the source of this 1656-nucleotide long non-coding RNA. NCBI's taxonomy places the organism in Eukaryota, Metazoa, Chordata, Actinopteri, Salmoniformes, Salmonidae. The record is from Ensembl.
GAGAGAUUCAUGACAUGGUACGAGACCGUAAGACAUGGCACUUUUGAUUUCCAUAAAGAGAUGGAAUCAUACUGUGACAAUGACGUUGUUAUACUUCGUGAAGGAUGCCUCAGAUUCAGAGAAGAGGUAAUCAAAGAUGCGGGCAUUGACCCCUGGAGCUGUACAACUAUUGCAUCAGCGUGCAUGAAAACCUAUCGUACACACUAUCUAACUCCUGAAUCUAUAGCUAUCCCAUCGCCAGACAACUACCGACGCCAAUUCAAGGCCUACUCUAGUGGUUCCAUUCAAUGGUUGGAGUACUUGGCCCAGGAUAAAGAUAUUUUUAUCCAACAUGCUUUGAAUCGGGGGGAGAAGGCUUUUGGGCCUUACCAUGUAGAUGGAUACACACAGAUUGACGGGGUUGAGACAGUGUAUGAGUACAACGGUUGUUUCUUCCACGGUUGUAAAUUAUGCUUUGUCCCCCACACCUUGUGUGUCCUAACCCAAAAGACUUUUGGGGAAAUGUACCAAGAGUUUCAAGACAAACUGAAUUCUUUAAAGGCUACUUACGGGUUAAAAGUUGUGGUUUUGUGGGAGCACGAAUGGACAGCCCUCAAAAAGGCAGAUCCUAGUGUUAAGGCCUUCCUUACCCAUUAUGACCCUCCAGAGCCCCUGGAACCGCGACAGGCCUUGUUUGGAGGCCGGACCAAUGCUUUGACAUUGCGUUAUGUAGCUCAACCCGACGAGACAAUAGGCUAUGUAGAUUUUACAUCCCUAUAUCCUCAUGUAAUGAGUUCCUCAUUCUAUCCUAUAGGGCAUCCUGAAAUUAUUCACAGCGACUUUGACGAACCCCAAAAUUAUUUUGGUUUAAUCAAAGCGACUGUCUACCCUCCUAGGGGGCUGUUUAUACCUGUGUUGCCUUACAAGGGUCCUAAAGGAAAACUUUUCUUUCCCCUUUGUCGCACAUGCUGUGAAAACCACAACCAGGAAAACCCCUGUGAUCACACAGAUCAAGAAAGAGCCCUGACCGGUGUAUGGGUCACUGUAGAAUUCUCUAAGGCUUUAGAGAAGGGGUAUCGUGUGGCCAAAAUCUUUGAAGUGUGGAACUUUUCCAGGAAAUCAGACACACUUUUUAAAGAGUACAUCAAAACCUUCUUGAGAUGCAAGCAGAUGGCUUCAGGCUAUCCUGCAUCGGUCACAGAUCAAGAAAGUAAAGACCAGUACAUUCAAGACUACCAUGACAGAGAAGGCAUACUUCUUGACCCUGACAGAAUAGAGGUCAACAAAACCAAAAGAAAUGUGUCGAAAUUGUACUUGAACUCCCUUUGGGGGAAAUUAGCGCAGAGAUGCAAUAUGCUAACAACUUCGAUCAUUAAAGACCCCGAAGAAUUUUUGGAAUUUGUUUUUUCGGACCAAUACGAAAUUUCACAUUUUUCCUUCUUGAGUCAAGACAUUGCCUUGGUGCAAUGGAGGCGCCACCAAAAGUGGGUUCUACCCCCGGGUAAUGUAAAUGUGUUUCUUGCAGCAUUUACCACAGCCUAUGGCCGCCUUGAACUGUACACCCUCAUGGAACAGCUUCAGAGGCGGGUUCUUUACCACGACACAGACUCUGUGGUCUAUGUAAGCAAACCGGGGGAUUGGACCCCCCCACUUAGCAACUAUCUUGGGGGUUUAACG